Molecule: ribosomal RNA, 497 nt
Filed under: uncultured bacterium
Lineage: Bacteria
Description: partial 16S ribosomal RNA
Rfam family: Bacterial small subunit ribosomal RNA
Source: RNAcentral
GAUGAACGCUGGCGGCGUGCCUAAUACAUGCAAGUCGAGCGAACAGACGAGGAGCUUGCUCCUCUGACGUUAGCGGCGGACGGGUGAGUAACACGUGGAUAACCUACCUCUAAGACUGGGAUAACUUCGGGAAACCGGAGCUAAUACCGGAUAAUAUAUUGAACCGCAUGGUUCAAUAGUGAAAGACGGUUUUGCUGUCACUUAUAGAUGGAUCCGCGCCGCAUUAGCUAGUUGGUAAGGUAACGGCUUACCAAGGCGACGAUGCGUAGCCGACCUGAGAGGGUGAUCGGCCACACUGGAACUGAGACACGGUCCAGACUCCUACGGGAGGCAGCAGUAGGGAAUCUUCCGCAAUGGGCGAAAGCCUGACGGAGCAACGCCGCGUGAGUGAUGAAGGUCUUCGGAUCGUAAAACUCUGUUAUUAGGGAAGAACAAAUGUGUAAGUAACUAUGCACGUCUUGACGGUACCUAAUCAGAAAGCCACGGCUAACUACGUG